UGAAGCAAAAUAGUGAUAUCAAGCAAAUCUCAAAAAAUCGUUCUCAGUUCGGAUUGUAGUCUGCAACUCGACUACAUGAAGUCGGAAUCGCUAGUAAUCGUAGAUCAGCUACGCUACGGUGAAUACGUUCUCGGGUCUUGUACACACCGCCCGUCACACCAUGGA
This 165-nucleotide ribosomal RNA is filed under the name Mycoplasmopsis synoviae. RNAcentral describes it as "Mycoplasma synoviae partial 16S ribosomal RNA". It matches the Rfam family "Bacterial small subunit ribosomal RNA", at positions 1245 to 1408 of the family's 1533-position model. The record is from RNAcentral. Lineage: Bacteria; Bacillati; Mycoplasmatota; Mycoplasmoidales; Metamycoplasmataceae.